Molecule: ribosomal RNA, 325 nt
Filed under: uncultured bacterium
Lineage: Bacteria
Description: bacterial SSU rRNA
Rfam family: Bacterial small subunit ribosomal RNA
Source: RNAcentral
GAUGAACGCUGGCGGCGUGCUUAACACAUGCAAGUCGAACGGAGAACCCCUGACGGAGGCUUCGGCCAACUGAUGGGAAUUCUUAGUGGCGGACGGGUGAGUAACGCGUGAGGAACCUGCCUUGGAGUGGGGAAUAACAGUUAGAAAUAGCUGCUAAUACCGCAUAAUGCAACUAAGUCGCAUGGCUUUGGUUGCCAAAGAUUUAUCGCUCUGAGAUGGCCUCGCGUCUGAUUAGUUAGUUGGCGGGGUAACGGCCCACCAAGACGACGAUCAGUAGCCGGACUGAGAGGUUGGCCGGCCACAUUGGGACUGAGACACGGCCCAG